UAAACCAUGCACCGAAGCUGCGGCAGCGACACUAUGUGUUGUUGGGUAGGGGAGCGUUCUGUAAGCCUGCGAAGGUGACCUGUGAGGGUUGCUGGAGGUAUCAGAAGUGCGAAUGCUGACAUAAGUAACGAUAAAGCGGGUGAAAAGCCCGCUCGCCGGAAGACCAAGGGUUCCUGUCCAACGUUAAUCGGGGCAGGGUGAGUCGACCCCUAAGGCGAGGCCGAAAGGCGUAGUCGAUGGGAAACAGGUUAAUAUUCCUGUACUUGGUGUUACUGCGAAGGGGGGACGGAGAAGGCUAUGUUAGCCGGGCGACGGUUGUCCCGGUUUAAGCAUGUAGGCUGGUUGUCCAGGCAAAUCCGGAUAAUCAAGGCUGAGGUGUGAUGACGAGGCACUACGGUGCUGAAGUAACAAAUGCCCUGCUUCCAGGAAAAGCCUCUAAGCAUCAGGUAACAUCAAAUCGUACCCCAAACCGACACAGGUGGUCAGGUAGAGAAUACCAAGGCGCUUGAGAGAACUCGGGUGAAGGAACUAGGCAAAAUGGUGCCGUAACUUCGGGAGAAGGCACGCUGGUGUGUAGGUGAAGUCCCUGCGGAUGGAGCUGAGACCAGUCGAAGAUACCAGCUGGCUGCAACUGUUUAUUAAAAACACAGCACUGUGCAAACACGAAAGU
This 670-nucleotide ribosomal RNA is filed under the name Klebsiella pneumoniae. RNAcentral describes it as "partial 23S ribosomal RNA". It matches the Rfam family "Bacterial large subunit ribosomal RNA", at positions 1183 to 1838 of the family's 2925-position model. The record is from RNAcentral. Lineage: Bacteria; Pseudomonadati; Pseudomonadota; Gammaproteobacteria; Enterobacterales; Enterobacteriaceae.